AUACAUGCAAGUCGAGCGAACAGACAAGGAGCUUGCUCCUUUGACGUUAGCGGCGGACGGGUGAGUAACACGUGGGUAACCUACCUAUAAGACUGGGAUAACUUCGGGAAACCGGAGCUAAUACCGGAUAAUAUUUCGAACCGCAUGGUUCGAUAGUGAAAGAUGGUUUUGCUAUCACUUAUAGAUGGACCCGCGCCGUAUUAGCUAGUUGGUAAGGUAACGGCUUACCAAGGCGACGAUACGUAGCCGACCUGAGAGGGUGAUCGGCCACACUGGAACUGAGACACGGUCCAGACUCCUACGGGAGGCAGCAGUAGGGAAUCUUCCGCAAUGGGCGAAAGCCUGACGGAGCAACGCCGCGUGAGUGAUGAAGGUCUUCGGAUCGUAAAACUCUGUUAUUAGGGAAGAACAUACGUGUAAGUAACUAUGCACGUCUUGACGGUACCUAAUCAGAAAGCCACGGCUAACUACGUGCCAGCAGCCGCGGUAAUACGUAGGUGGCAAGCGUUAUCCGGAAUUAUUGGGCGUAAAGCGCGCGUAGGCGGUUUUUUAAGUCUGAUGUGAAAGCCCACGGCUCAACCGUGGAGGGUCAUUGGAAACUGGAAAACUUGAGUGCAGAAGAGGAAAGUGGAAUUCCAUGUGUAGCGGUGAAAUGCGCAGAGAUAUGGAGGAACACCAGUGGCGAAGGCGACUUUCUGGUCUGUAACUGACGCUGAUGUGCGAAA
Molecule: ribosomal RNA, 725 nt
Filed under: Staphylococcus haemolyticus
Lineage: Bacteria; Bacillati; Bacillota; Bacilli; Caryophanales; Staphylococcaceae
Description: bacterial SSU rRNA
Rfam family: Bacterial small subunit ribosomal RNA
Source: RNAcentral